This 1240-nucleotide ribosomal RNA is filed under the name Arthrobacter sp. R34. RNAcentral describes it as "bacterial SSU rRNA". It matches the Rfam family "Bacterial small subunit ribosomal RNA", at positions 119 to 1369 of the family's 1533-position model. Lineage: Bacteria; Bacillati; Actinomycetota; Actinomycetes; Micrococcales; Micrococcaceae. The record is from RNAcentral.
GAGUAACCUGCCCUUAACUCUGGGAUAAGCCUGGGAAACUGGGUCUAAUACCGGAUAUGACUCCUCAUCGCAUGGUGGGGGGUGGAAAGCUUUUUGUGGUUUUGGAUGGACUCGCGGCCUAUCAGCUUGUUGGUGAGGUAAUGGCUCACCAAGGCGACGACGGGUAGCCGGCCUGAGAGGGUGACCGGCCACACUGGGACUGAGACACGGCCCAGACUCCUACGGGAGGCAGCAGUGGGGAAUAUUGCACAAUGGGCGCAAGCCUGAUGCAGCGACGCCGCGUGAGGGAUGACGGCCUUCGGGUUGUAAACCUCUUUCAGUAGGGAAGAAGCGAAAGUGACGGUACCUGCAGAAGAAGCGCCGGCUAACUACGUGCCAGCAGCCGCGGUAAUACGUAGGGCGCAAGCGUUAUCCGGAAUUAUUGGGCGUAAAGAGCUCGUAGGCGGUUUGUCGCGUCUGCCGUGAAAGUCCGGGGCUCAACUCCGGAUCUGCGGUGGGUACGGGCAGACUAGAGUGAUGUAGGGGAGACUGGAAUUCCUGGUGUAGCGGUGAAAUGCGCAGAUAUCAGGAGGAACACCGAUGGCGAAGGCAGGUCUCUGGGCAUUAACUGACGCUGAGGAGCGAAAGCAUGGGGAGCGAACAGGAUUAGAUACCCUGGUAGUCCAUGCCGUAAACGUUGGGCACUAGGUGUGGGGGACAUUCCACGUUUUCCGCGCCGUAGCUAACGCAUUAAGUGCCCCGCCUGGGGAGUACGGCCGCAAGGCUAAAACUCAAAGGAAUUGACGGGGGCCCGCACAAGCGGCGGAGCAUGCGGAUUAAUUCGAUGCAACGCGAAGAACCUUACCAAGGCUUGACAUGGACCGGACCGGGCUGGAAACAGUCCUUCCCCUUUGGGGCCGGUUCACAGGUGGUGCAUGGUUGUCGUCAGCUCGUGUCGUGAGAUGUUGGGUUAAGUCCCGCAACGAGCGCAACCCUCGUUCCAUGUUGCCAGCGCGUAAUGGCGGGGACUCAUGGGAGACUGCCGGGGUCAACUCGGAGGAAGGUGGGGACGACGUCAAAUCAUCAUGCCCCUUAUGUCUUGGGCUUCACGCAUGCUACAAUGGCCGGUACAAAGGGUUGCGAUACUGUGAGGUGGAGCUAAUCCCAAAAAGCCGGUCUCAGUUCGGAUUGGGGUCUGCAACUCGACCCCAUGAAGUCGGAGUCGCUAGUAAUCGCAGAUCAGCAACGCUGCGGAUUGCUC